Regulatory RNA element from Leptotrichia hofstadii F0254, 166 nucleotides. It matches the Rfam family "Ribosomal protein L10 leader". From Rfam's summary of the family: This family is a putative r-protein leader autoregulatory structure found in B. subtilis and other low-GC Gram-positive bacteria. It is located in the 5' untranslated regions of mRNAs encoding ribosomal proteins L10 and L12 (rplJ-rplL). Lineage: Bacteria; Fusobacteriati; Fusobacteriota; Fusobacteriia; Fusobacteriales; Leptotrichiaceae. The record is from Rfam.
AAAUCAUAUAUAAUAUAACCAAAGACAGUAGGUAGAACGAAAGUUCUUUAAACCCUACCGAGGUAAGUAUUAUUAUAAAUAGAUAUUAAAAUUAAAUAAUAGAUAUUUUUAUAGUAUGAUACCUCUGGGCUUAUUGUUUUUGUUUCAGAGGUUUUUAUUAUAAGGA